Molecule: ribosomal RNA, 749 nt
Filed under: uncultured Arcobacter sp.
Lineage: Bacteria; Pseudomonadati; Campylobacterota; Epsilonproteobacteria; Campylobacterales; Arcobacteraceae
Description: bacterial SSU rRNA
Rfam family: Bacterial small subunit ribosomal RNA
Source: RNAcentral
GGCGGACGGGUGAGUAAUAUAUAGGUAAUGUGCCUUGAAGAAGGGGAUAACAGUUGGAAACGACUGCUAAGACCCUAUAUGCCUUUAAAACAAAAGUUUGCAAGGGAAAUAUUUAUAGCUUCAAGAUCGGCCUGUACAGUAUCAGUUAGUUGGUGAGGUAAUGGCUCACCAAGACAAUGACGCUUAACUGGUUUGAGAGGAUGAUCAGUCACACUGGAACUGAGACACGGUCCAGACUCCUACGGGAGGCAGCAGUGGGGAAUAUUGCACAAUGGGGGAAACCCUGAUGCAGCAACGCCGCGUGGAGGAUGACACAUUUCGGUGCGUAAACUCCUUUUAUAUAGGAAGAUAAUGACGGUACUAUAUGAAUAAGCGCCGGCUAACUCCGUGCCAGCAGCCGCGGUAAUACGGAGGGCGCAAGCGUUACUCGGAAUCACUGGGCGUAAAGAGCGUGUAGGCGGAUAGAUAAGUUGGGAGUGAAAUCCUAUGGCUCAACCAUAGAACUGCUUCCAAAACUGUCUAUCUAGAGUAUGGGAGAGGUAGAUGGAAUUUCUGGUGUAGGGGUAAAAUCCGUAGAGAUCAGAAGGAAUACCGAUUGCGAAGGCGAUCUACUGGAACAUUACUGACGCUGAGACGCGAAAGCGUGGGGAGCAAACAGGAUUAGAUACCCUGGUAGUCCACGCCCUAAACGAUGUACACUAGUUGUUGUGAGGCUAGACCUUGCAGUAAUGCAGUUAACACAUUAAGUG